This 1527-nucleotide long non-coding RNA is filed under the name Marmota monax (woodchuck). Lineage: Eukaryota; Metazoa; Chordata; Mammalia; Rodentia; Sciuridae. The record is from RNAcentral.
AUAUUUUCACAGUGAACUAUCCUAGAGCAAUGCAAACAACAAUUUACAAGUAUUUAUGACUUUAUAGCUGAACCUUAACAGAAGUAAUGUUGAGUGAAAAACAGAUAUAAUUAUAUAAAGUUUAAAAAUAGACAAAGCAAAUUAAGUAUUGUAAGUCAAAAUAGUUGUUGGUCUUUGGAAUAGGUAUCUGUAAAAAGGGAACCAGGAAGGAUUCUAAGAUGCAAAUAAUGUCUUGAUCUGGGUGUUGGUUGCAUGAAUAUGUUUGAUUUAUGAAGAUUGAUCGAGCUGUAUAAUUUAUUAUCUGUGCACUUUUCUAUGUAAAUUCAGUUUAAAGUUCCCCAAAGUUGUUAGAUAAUUACAUAGAUAUUUCAAUAGCACUAUUGUUGUUAAUUUAUUUUUUUGUAGUACUGGGGAUUGAACCCAGGGUCUCACAUGUGUUAGGCAAAUGUUCUACUACUUAGUUAUAUCCCCAGCCCUUUUUAUUUUUCAUUUUGAAAUAAGGUCUUGUGGUGUUUCGCAGACUGGCCUCAGACUUGUCAUCCUCCUGUCUCCAUCUCCCAAGUAAUAUUACUCCAUCUUGAUUUAGGAGAGAAAUGUCCCUUAAUUGUCAUCUGGGCAAAAGUUACUUCUUAUUCUCCCAUUUUCAUUCAGAGAACAUUUCGAUUUUGUAUUUUAUACAUUUUUUAUCCUAAUUAUGAAAACUGCCAAGUUUUCAUUGAAAAUAUUUUUACUUCAAACUUCCAUUUAUAAACCUAUUUAAUUCUUAGAUCAAUAUAAUUUUUACAACAUGACAGUUUUAAAUGUAAGGAUGUCAGUUUUUCCAUGAAGAUACAAUUUACUGAUGUUUUAUCCAUGUCAAAAUAGUCCUUAUAGAUUAUUGGUUACAUUAGGGGCUUGCAUCAGAUUUUACCAGUUAGAAUUUUUUUGUGAAUUUUCUCCUGUGACCACUAGUUUCUACAUGGUAUAAUUUUCCUAAUUCAAAUUUUAUGUAAUUGAAUUUUACGAAAAGAUUUUUUAAAAUCAAUUUUAAGAAGACAUGUUACUGAGCCAGGCCACUAUAGUAGUAGCACACACUUGUAAUCCCAUCAACUCUGGAGACUGAGGCAGGAGGAUUGAAGUUUGAGGCCAGCCUGGGCACCUUAGCAAGACUCUGUCUCAAGAAAAAUAAUAAGGGAUAGGGGUAUAGCUUAGUGGUAGAGCAUCCCUGUAUUCAAUCCCUGAUACCACACACAAACACAAAAAAGUUAUUCUUUUCAGUUUUUAGCUGGAAUAGUUUUAUUUGGGGUUGAUUGUUUCUACCUAUUUCAAUUUUUCCUUGUUAAUUUUUCUAAUGAUGCUCAGAUCAGGAAAUGUGAUCCUCAGUUAUAAUGUUUUGUCAUCCAUGAUCAUUUUUAUCAUUUUUAGCUAUCAGUUGGUAUUAUACAACUAAUAUUCUUUACAGAUAGGAUAAAAACUGAUAAAAGUUUAUUGGUAAUUUCUUGGGGUAGAAUGCUUUGGUAGGGCACAAGCAUGGAAAAUAUACUCCAG